This 784-nucleotide ribosomal RNA is filed under the name uncultured bacterium. RNAcentral describes it as "bacterial SSU rRNA". It matches the Rfam family "Bacterial small subunit ribosomal RNA", at positions 84 to 868 of the family's 1533-position model. The record is from RNAcentral.
UGUAUGGAUUAGUGGCGGACGGGUGAGUAACGCGUGGAUAACCUGCCGUAUACAGGGGGAUAACACUUAGAAAUAGGUGCUAAUACCGCAUAAGCGCACGGUUCCGCAUGGAACAGUGUGAAAAACUCCGGUGGUAUACGAUGGAUCCGCGUCUGAUUAGCCAGUUGGCGGGGUAACGGCCCACCAAAGCGACGAUCAGUAGCCGGCCUGAGAGGGUGAACGGCCACAUUGGGACUGAGACACGGCCCAAACUCCUACGGGAGGCAGCAGUGGGGAAUAUUGCACAAUGGGGGAAACCCUGAUGCAGCGACGCCGCGUGAGUGAAGAAGUAUUUCGGUACGUAAAGCUCUAUCAGCAGGGAAGAAAAAAAGUCCUUUGGACUUUGGACGGUACCUGACUAAGAAGCCCCGGCUAACUACGUGCCAGCAGCCGCGGUAAUACGUAGGGGGCAAGCGUUAUCCGGAUUUACUGGGUGUAAAGGGAGCGUAGACGGCAGCGCAAGUCUGGAGUGAAAUGCCGGGGCCCAACCCCGGAACUGCUUUGGAAACUGUGCAGCUGGAGUGCAGGAGAGGUAAGCGGAAUUCCUAGUGUAGCGGUGAAAUGCGUAGAUAUUAGGAGGAACACCAGUGGCGAAGGCGGCUUACUGGACUGUAACUGACGUUGAGGCUCGAAAGCGUGGGGAGCAAACAGGAUUAGAUACCCUGGUAGUCCACGCCGUAAACGAUGAUUACUAGGUGUCGGGGGGUCAAGGCCCUCCGGUGCCGCCGCAAACGCAUUAAGUAAU